Molecule: long non-coding RNA, 1481 nt
Organism: Oncorhynchus tshawytscha (Chinook salmon)
Lineage: Eukaryota; Metazoa; Chordata; Actinopteri; Salmoniformes; Salmonidae
Source: Ensembl
AUCAGUUUGAGCCAGAGAAGACAAUAAAUUGAAACCUUUACUUAGAAAUAUGUAAAUAUAACACCAACUGAACAUGAAUGAAGGCUUGAACUAAAUAAUACCACAACAAAAGACUAAACGUAUCCAGACAUUGUCGAGCAGAGAACACAAAAUGGAACACCGCUACUCUUCAGUGACGUCCUGUCUGACAGGUAACGAGAAUACAACGGGACACCGCUACUCUUCAGUGACGUCCUGUCUGUCAGGUAACGAGAAUACAACGGGACACCGCUACUCUUCAGUGACGUCCUGUCUGUCAGGUAACGAGAAUACAACGGGACACCGCUACUCUUCAGUGACGUCUUGUCUGUCAGGUAACGAGAAUAAAAUGGGACACCGCUACUCUUCAGUGACGUCCCACUGUCUGUCAGGUAACGAGAAUAAAAUGGGACACCGCUACUCUUCAGUGACGUCCCACUGUCUGUCAGGUAACGAGAAAUACAACCGUCCUGAAAAAAACUAGCACUGAGAAAAUCCGAAAGGUACGUGUGAAAACAAAAGGAACCACAUUGUUGCAUUGUGGGAAUGUUAGUUAUGAAACACAAUACCGCAGUCCAUCUUUGGCUGAAUCAUCAUGCAUAUAUUCAGUUCAUUCUGGCUUCAUAUGUGAUCACACAACAAAAUAUUAAAUAUUGUAAAUAAGCUUUAGUGAACUAUAUAUAUAACUAUUACUCUAAUAGGAAACUAUACCAUACAGUAGCCAGUAGGACCAGAUAUAACUAUACCAUACAGUAGCCAAUAGGACCCAGAGAUAACUACUACUCUAAUAGGAAACUAUACCAUACAGUAACCAGUAGGACCAGGAGAUAACAACCAGGAGAUAACUAUACCAUACAGUAGCCAGUAGGACCAGGAGAUAACUAUACCAUACAGUAGCCAAUAGGACCAGGAGAUAACUAUACCAUACAGUAGCCAAUAGGACCAGGAGAUAACUAUACCAUACAGUAGCCAAUAGGACCCGGAGAUAACUACUACUCUAAUAGGAAACUAUAUCAUACAGUAGCCAGUAGGACCAGGAGAUAACUAUACCAUACAGUAGCCAAUAGGACCCGGAGAUAACUACUACUCUAAUAGGAAACUAUACCAUACAGUAGCCAGUAGGACCAGGAGAUAACUACUACUCUAAUAGGAAACUAUACCAUACAGUAGCCAAUAGGACCAGGAGAUAACUAUACCAUACAGUAGCCAGUAGGACCAGAAGAUAACUAUACCAUACAGUAGCCAGUAGGACCCGGAGAUAACUAUACCAUACAGUAGCCAGUAGGACCAGGAGAUAACUACUACUCUAAUAGGAAACUAUACCAUACAGUAGCCAAUAGGACCCGGAGAUAACUAUACCAUACAGUAGCCAGUAGGACCAGGAGAUAACUACUACUCUAAUAGGAAACUAUACCAUACAGUAGCCAAUAUGACCAGGAGAUAACUAUACCAUACAGUAGCCA